CCUACGGGAGGCAGCAGUGAGGAAUAUUGGUCAAUGGGCGCGAGCCUGAACCAGCCAAGUAGCGUGAAGGAUGACUGCCCUACGGGUUGUAAACUUCUUUUAUAAAGAAUAAAGUUAGGCCGGUUUGCCCUUUUUGCUUUACCUUUUUAAUCAGGAACGGCUCACUCCCUGCCAGCAGCCGCGGUAAUACGGAGGAUCCGAGCGUUAUCCGGAUUUAUUGGGUUUAAAGGGAGCGUAGUUGGGUUGUUAAGUCCGGUGUGAAAGUUUGCGGCUCAACCGUAAAAUUGCAAUUGAUACUGGCAGUCUGGAGUACAGUUGAGGUAGGCGGAAUUCGUGGUGUAGCGGUGAAAUGCUUAGAUAUCGCGAAGAACUCCGAUUGCGAAGGCAGCUUACUAAACUGCAACUGACAUUGAUGCUCGAAAGUGUGGGUAUCAAACAGGAUUAGAUACCCCUGUAGUC
RNAcentral lists this ribosomal RNA (459 nucleotides) under uncultured bacterium. RNAcentral describes it as "partial 16S ribosomal RNA". It matches the Rfam family "Bacterial small subunit ribosomal RNA", at positions 338 to 795 of the family's 1533-position model. The record is from RNAcentral.